GGGCGAUUAGCUCAGCGGAUAGAGCACAAGCCUCCGGAGCUUGGUGCCGCGGGUUCGAUCCCCGCAUCGCCCUCCA
This 76-nucleotide transfer RNA is filed under the name Desulfobacterales bacterium S7086C20. RNAcentral describes it as "tRNA-Arg". It matches the Rfam family "tRNA". Rfam says of the family: Transfer RNA (tRNA) molecules are approximately 80 nucleotides in length. Their secondary structure includes four short double-helical elements and three loops (D, anti-codon, and T loops). Further hydrogen bonds mediate the characteristic L-shaped molecular structure. tRNAs have two regions of fundamental functional importance: the anti-codon, which is responsible for specific mRNA codon recognition, and the 3' end, to which the tRNAs corresponding amino acid is attached (by aminoacyl-tRNA synthetases). tRNAs cope with the degeneracy of the genetic code in two manners: having more than one tRNA (with a specific anti-codon) for a particular amino acid; and 'wobble' base-pairing, i.e. permitting non-standard base-pairing at the 3rd anti-codon position. Lineage: Bacteria; Pseudomonadati; Thermodesulfobacteriota; Desulfobacteria; Desulfobacterales. The record is from RNAcentral. RNAcentral also lists the same sequence under 1 other name.